GACGAAGGGGGCUAGCGUUGUUCGGAAUUACUGGGCGUAAAGCGCGUGUAGGCGGUUGUCCAAGUUGGAUGUGAAAGCCUUGAGCUCAACUCAAGAAAUGCAUUCAGGACUGGAUGACUAGAGGACCGGAGAGGAUGGUGGAAUUCCCAGUGUAGUGGUGAAAUACGUAGAGAUUGGGAAGACCACCAGUGGCGAAGGCGGCUAUCUGGACGGUUUCUGACGCUAAGACGCGAAAGCGUGGGGAGCAAACAGG
This 253-nucleotide ribosomal RNA is filed under the name uncultured bacterium. Its description in RNAcentral is "partial 16S ribosomal RNA". It matches the Rfam family "Bacterial small subunit ribosomal RNA", at positions 524 to 776 of the family's 1533-position model. The record is from RNAcentral.